UAAUACGUAGGCAGCAAGCGUUGUUCGGAGUUACUGGGCGUAAAGGGUGUGUAGGCGGUCCUGUAAGUUUGGUGUGAAAUCUCCCGGCUCAACUGGGAGGGUGCGCCGAAAACUGCAGGGCUAGAGUGCGGGAUGGGAGAGUGGAAUUCCUGGUGUAGCGGUGAAAUGCGUAGAUAUCAGGAGGAACACCGGUGGUGUAGACGGCUCUCUGGACCGUUACUGACGCUGAAACACGAAAGCGUGGGUAGCAAACAGGAUUAGAUACCCUGGUAGUCCACGCCCUAAACGAUGCAUGCUUGGUGUGGGCCAUUCAUUUGGUCCGUGCCGGAGCUAACGCGUUAAGCAUGCCGCCUGGGGAGUACGGUCGCAAGGCUG
This 375-nucleotide ribosomal RNA is filed under the name uncultured bacterium. RNAcentral describes it as "bacterial SSU rRNA". It matches the Rfam family "Bacterial small subunit ribosomal RNA", at positions 521 to 896 of the family's 1533-position model. The record is from RNAcentral.